GCUCGGGUGGUGGAAUUGGUAGACACUAGGGACUUAAAAUCCCUCGCAGCAUAGCUGUGUACGAGUUCAAGUCUCGUCCCGAGCA
This 85-nucleotide transfer RNA is filed under the name Chitinivibrionales bacterium. RNAcentral's name for it is "tRNA-Leu". It matches the Rfam family "tRNA". Rfam says of the family: Transfer RNA (tRNA) molecules are approximately 80 nucleotides in length. Their secondary structure includes four short double-helical elements and three loops (D, anti-codon, and T loops). The record is from RNAcentral. Lineage: Bacteria; Pseudomonadati; Fibrobacterota; Chitinivibrionia; Chitinivibrionales.